Bombyx mori (domestic silkworm) is the source of this 2396-nucleotide long non-coding RNA. RefSeq lists it as uncharacterized. The record is from RefSeq and is a predicted model, not a curated record. NCBI's taxonomy places the organism in Eukaryota, Metazoa, Arthropoda, Insecta, Lepidoptera, Bombycidae. The transcript has 2 exons.
AUAUAAUAACCGGCAAACUUCUUGAGCAUUUGUUGACGUAGUGGGGGUAAGUUUGCGCAUGGUACACUCACGUGCAAAAACAUUACUUACUCUGCGUCAUAAUGCAAUUAAAUUAUUAAAAUCAACAUAUGUAUUUAUUUAUAUAUUUAUUAGAACAUCAACAAAACAUAUAGGUUAAUAAUUGUAAUAAUUUAAUCUUGGGGUAAAAUAGAUAUUCCUUCUAUUAAGUCAAAACUAGAGCUGUUGCCAGGUCUUGGUUCAGUUGAAGCGAAGCUGGUAUUUGUAAUUUUUUUUUUCGUUAUCAUAAUCUUGACCAUCAUCAUCACUGUUUUUAUCACCCGAGUUGCUAUCAUCGUGAUGAGUCGACAUAGGGAUCAUCGGUGUAGUUUACAACUCGGUCGGUUCGGUCUACUUUUUUGUCUAUAAUUAAUUAUUUUUUGAAGAUAUUCGAUUCGUAGUAAUCGAAUGUAACUUUUUUCAAUUACCAGCUUCCGAUUAUUUUCUGUUUUUUUUCCAUCUGAAGCCUAGCUCUUUCAUAAUUCGUCGUAAACUUCAUACCGAGCCAUUAAAAUUUAUAUCUUCUUUAAAUUUUUCGAAGCCUUUCUACGGUACGGAGUUUCGCUGCUUGUUAUGUAGUUAUUAUGAUUACAUCUUUUUAUUACAGAUUGAACGAAACUAUGCAUUCCGGUAAAUUUCUUCUUCCCUGAUCUUUUCUUACCCGGAGUCCGCAACACGGCGAGCAAGCCAGAGCCUUUAGCUUCGUUAAUAAUGCACCUAACAGUACUCACUGAUGUUUUUGUUGCUUCCGAAGUCUGUUUUAAUUUUUCCAUAUCAUUCUUCCCCUGUUUUAUAAUGAAGCAAUAUACGUCGUACACAAAUUUUCUACUCUUUCUUUUAAGUACUACACCAGUUUGUCACGGCAUGGUGUACGUUUUAUAAAAAAUCAACAAACACUCAACAAAUAGCAAUGGCAACAAAGUCCACAAGCAAUUAUAACAAAUAACGUAACGAUUAAUAACGAUAGACUUUCCACUGUACGCAAGCGUACUUUUGGGAGCAAGCGGAAUGAGGGCGCGGUGCGGGACGCAAGGUUCGACUGAUCUACCAAUAACGCGCUCGAUACGAUUUCCCCUGCCGUCGCGCCUCAUCCUCACCACCAAAGUGAUCUAAAAUUCGGUUCUGCGCAGUCAAGGUCAUUUGCUCAAGAAGUUUGCCGAUUACUAUACCGGCAUUACUGUUUAAACUUUAUUUGCGACAAAAUCUGUGACGAAAGUGUUGUUGUCUUCGGCGUGCAGAAAAAGUUUUCUAGAUAGUGACAGUAUUUAAAGAUAUAAGUUCGCAUUUAACAUACCUACUCGUAUGUAUGAUCGCUCUGCUAGCCGAUAUGGUAGUAUAUUGGGACGUUGACAAAAUUCUAACAUGUUUUGAUUUAAAUCAAUGUUACAUUAAUAAUGCCAGGCGGCCCUGGCCUGUUACACAUUUCAUAAUCACUGAGAAGUAUUUCGGAUGUCAGCGAAAAAUCAACAAGAGUAUAAAACUGCAGCAUUUUACUCUUGCGAUGAGUUAAAGCGAUAUUAGAAAAUUACUGCAGUGCUCCAUUUUUUGGUGCUCUUUUUGUAUGCAUUCUAUUUAUGAUCAUUUUCCCGAAGACGAGCGCGAGGUUUGGAAGGAAAUCAUCAUCAUCAUCAUCAUCAUCUCUGCCUGUCCACUGUCCACUGCUGAACAUAGGCCUCUUCAACUGAUGUCCAGUGCGGCCGGUCCGUUGGCAUCUGCAUCCAACGUGCCGUGGGAGGAAAUAAUUAAUAGUUAUUGGAGAAAGUAUUAUUUCGUUCGGUAGAGAAUGGCGCUUAGCGCAGCAGAAAGAGCCAAGCGAUAUCGCGAAAAAUUAAAGCAAAAUUCUGAAAAAUAAUCCUGUAGGUAGGUGUAAGUAAAAAUAUAAAAUAAUCACCAACGACUCCUAAGUCUUUGAAUACUUUUAUGUGUAUAAAAAAAGGUUUAAUGAAUCUUAAUUUUACGCUCUUUGUGACUGUGUUUUAAAUUGGCAGUGUGGAUACUGCUUAAAUUAUUCCUAUUCGUCACGCAAUUUUCAUAAUAGUCACUGUGCUAUAUUCUAAAUUGUACAAAACUAGUUUUAAAAGUAUCUAGAUUUCUUUAGAGUAUUAAGUUUUGAAACUAUUAGAAUUUUGUUAUUGCCGAAAAUUCCUCACUUUGCUUGAUUUAUGAAUUUGUAACACGUAUCAUUAGUAAACAACAACUUUUCUAGGGCGAUGUGUCUAAGAAGUGACGAAAAUGAAACUAUUUGGCUGAUUAUUUAUAAUUGCGAUAGAAUUAUGCUAAAUUUUUGGAAACAUUUUUAGCAUAUCCUUAUGCUAAUAUAAGUUGAUUUUGUUUCAAUA